AAUUGGCCAAUCACAAAUGUUGUAAGAUGCGAGAGGGGAGUGAUGGUCUCUAGUCAGCUUUUGUCACGUCAACCAACGACUGUCAUACACUAGGGUGACUAUGUAGGUGAUCUCCAGAAUAAUGUUUUGGCGGGUCACGUUUAAACAACUCUGUUGUCAUUAAAAGGGCAAACAUAACAUUCAGGAUGCAGAUGAACUGCUUCCUGUAUUCAGCAUGAUUUGGUGAUUUACAUCAAGCGAAUCAGCUGUUGACAGGGGUCGGCUUUCCAGUGAUCGGUCUUGUCACAAACACAUCAAGUAUUUUUACAGCGCACUCCUGUCAACGAUUCUAGAAUUUCGUAAAGUUGUCUGAUAUCUAUGGGUACGUGACUUCACCAAUCAGCAAAAAGUCAAUGGAUGCUGUUAUAGCCAAGGUCAAUUCUAGCUGGUCACAUGUGCUGGACUGGACCUAUGCUGGGGUUGACUACAGCCUUCCUGGUAAUGGAGGAGAGGACUGUGCCCGUUUCCUCAGUCCCACACAGCGUCUGCUGGAAAGUAUGCUGGCUACGCUGUUAGGUCUUUUGACCAUGCGGCUGGCAUAUCCUAAGCUGACCCUUCCAGCCACGAAGGUUCGUGUCUUGACAGAGAAAGAGACGACCUGGAAGCGAAUUUUGCUGGUAUUGAUGUGCUUAACAUGGGGGUGUGAGCUGGGCUUCAAAUUUGCCACACGACAGAUGAUCUGGAUUUUUAACCCAUGUCAUAUAGCCACAGCAGUUCAGAUCUACCUGCUGGCAGCAGGACCCAGCAAAGCUGUAACAGCUGUAUUCCGUUUGCACAUGCACAUGUUAACUGGUGCUCCUAUAGCCAUUCUCUUUCCUGUCAUCAACACUCGUCUGCUGCCAUUUGAAACAGAGGUCUAUUAUAUACAGCAUGUGCUGAUGCUAGUUAUUCCCUUCUACCUCAUGCAUCUUGGAGAUCCUUACAUUCCGGAAAGACUGGGGGACUUCAGCUGGGCAGCCAUGGCUGGGGGACUGCUCUUUAUCUACCAUUUCUGUCCACUGCAGCUGCUGGCACUGCAUGUCCAUGUGCCUUCUGUGCUGGUACUGGCGCCUUUGAUAGCAUCUUAGAAUGGAGAAAAUAAACAUGAAAAAUAAACAUGGUUCUGGGCAAAGUACAACAACCAAACAUAGUCCAUGACUGAACCACAAAUGGAAGGAAUAUUUCUGCCAAAUUUGGCAUCGCUGAUCAAUCUGAACAACAUGCUAUGUCCUGCUGUGUCAGACCCCUUCCAUGGACCGUAUUACCGCCUAUAUGCGAUGGCACAUCAGAUAAUCUUGAUCCCCUCAUUGGGUAAGAUCUAUGCAGCUCUGGC
This 1351-nucleotide unclassified non-coding RNA is filed under the name Pomacea canaliculata. Its description in RNAcentral is "transmembrane protein 164-like, transcript variant X3". Lineage: Eukaryota; Metazoa; Mollusca; Gastropoda; Architaenioglossa; Ampullariidae. The record is from RNAcentral.